This is a non-coding RNA of Pelobates cultripes (western spadefoot toad), 276 nucleotides long. The record is from the annotation of a GenBank genome assembly. NCBI's taxonomy places the organism in Eukaryota, Metazoa, Chordata, Amphibia, Anura, Pelobatidae.
CCCCAACGUGCCUCCCCCAAUGUUGUUGAGUGGCUGUUUUCCUCCACGUCCACUUCAAUAGGGUAGAUUUGAAAUAAGACUCCGGUAUGUAUAGGUAGAAAUAAUAACAGCAACUUUAUUAUAAAAGGGUGAACCAUCACCACCAGUAUAAAAAUUUGAGGAAUAAAGGUCCUACACGUUUCGUUCCUGUAGUGGAACUUCCUCAGGGACCAAAUCAAAGUAAUAUUGCAACAGUAAAAACACAUAUAACAAAAUCCUUUUUGAGUCUCUAUAAAU